UACACUCCUACGGGAGGCAGCAGUGGGGAAUAUUGCACAAUGGGCGCAAGCCUGAUGCAGCCAUGCCGCGUGUAUGAAGAAGGCCUUCGGGUUGUAAAGUACUUUCAGCGGGGAGGAAGGCGAUAAGGUUAAUAACCUUGUCGAUUGACGUUACCCGCAGAAGAAGCACCGGCUAACUCCGUGCCAGCAGCCGCGGUAAUACGGAGGGUGCAAGCGUUAAUCGGAAUUACUGGGCGUAAAGCGCACGCAGGCGGUCUGUCAAGUCGGAUGUGAAAUCCCCGGGCUCAACCUGGGAACUGCAUUCGAAACUGGCAGGCUAGAGUCUUGUAGAGGGGGGUAGAAUUCCAGGUGUAGCGGUGAAAUGCGUAGAGAUCUGGAGGAAUACCGAUGGCGAAGGCGGCCCCCUGGACAAAGACUGACGCUCAGGUGCGAAAGCGUGGGGAGCAAACAGGAUUAGAAACCCUAGUAGUCCCAUG
This 476-nucleotide ribosomal RNA is filed under the name uncultured organism. RNAcentral describes it as "partial 16S ribosomal RNA". It matches the Rfam family "Bacterial small subunit ribosomal RNA", at positions 332 to 799 of the family's 1533-position model. The record is from RNAcentral.